GGCGCCAUCGUCUAGAGGCCUAGGACGUCAGCUUUUCAAGCUGAAGAUCGCGGGUUCGAAUCCCGCUGGCGCUGCCA
This 77-nucleotide transfer RNA is filed under the name Candidatus Nealsonbacteria bacterium CG07_land_8_20_14_0_80_40_10. RNAcentral describes it as "tRNA-Glu". It matches the Rfam family "tRNA". From Rfam's summary of the family: Transfer RNA (tRNA) molecules are approximately 80 nucleotides in length. Their secondary structure includes four short double-helical elements and three loops (D, anti-codon, and T loops). Further hydrogen bonds mediate the characteristic L-shaped molecular structure. tRNAs have two regions of fundamental functional importance: the anti-codon, which is responsible for specific mRNA codon recognition, and the 3' end, to which the tRNAs corresponding amino acid is attached (by aminoacyl-tRNA synthetases). tRNAs cope with the degeneracy of the genetic code in two manners: having more than one tRNA (with a specific anti-codon) for a particular amino acid; and 'wobble' base-pairing, i.e. permitting non-standard base-pairing at the 3rd anti-codon position. Lineage: Bacteria; Candidatus Nealsoniibacteriota. The record is from RNAcentral. RNAcentral also lists the same sequence under 1 other name.